GGAUGGCCGCACCCUUGCAGACUAUAACAUCCAGAAAGAGUCUACUCUUCAUCUUGUCCUGAGGCUCCGUGGCGGUGACUUGUGAAUGUCCUGUGUGCUGCUGAUUUCAUGAUGGCUGUGUGCUUUGUUGUUUUAUUUCAUGACUUUUAGUGUUCUUCGUUAUAGUACUAUCUUUCUUUUAAGAGACCUUGUAAUGUGUUAUGUUCUGUUGUUUUUUGCUGCAACCUUAAUAAAUAAAUAUUAGCCGAUAAAUGUGU
This 257-nucleotide unclassified non-coding RNA is filed under the name Hevea brasiliensis (rubber tree). Lineage: Eukaryota; Viridiplantae; Streptophyta; Magnoliopsida; Malpighiales; Euphorbiaceae. The record is from RNAcentral.